UGUCAGAGCCUUGGAACUGUAAGUGGCUUCCGACUCCCAGCAGGAGACCACGUCGGUGUUCCUGCCCCUCAGCUGCCCAGACGUGCGGCGGGAGGCUGGGGCGCUCCGCAGGCCCCUGGUCACCACCUCCAGCCUCUCUGUGCUGACCAGGUCCUUGGGGAAGAUGUAACCUCUGGCCCCUGAGCUUUCUGGGAUCCUGCCAGAAUUGUCAGCGUGCCCCUUAGGAUCCAGGGAAGAGCGUCCCUGUCAGCGGAGUUAUUAACGUGUCGUGCACAGAAGCCUCCCCGGGAACGACGCGGGAUGAGCCUGCGUGGGGCUGGGCGCCGCCGUCGAGGGGCUUGGUGCUGGUCCGGGCGCACGCUCCUGCCUGGUCCCGCCGGCAUCCUCACGGUUUCCCGACACCCAGUGGCUCUCUGCCCUGAGUGGGCUCGUCCUUCAAAGCAGCUUUCACAGAAUUGGCCGCUGUCGUGGAGACAGUGUCGAGGAGACAGUGGUUACAAGCUGUGUUCCCUGGAAGGAAGGAACCACCCCAGACACAGCCAGGCGUCCCGUGCGCCCGCGGCCCGUCGGGCUGACACACAGCCCUUCCUGCAGUGACUCUGUGUCCGCCUGCAGAAUGCCCAGCUUUGCCGUGGACACACCUCAGCUUCUAGGACGUGGGACACAGGAUUCAAAGCACGGCCCCCGGACCCCGGACACACCCUCGCUGACCAGGAGGCCUCCAUCUACGGAGAGCGGAAGGCGGGGUGGCCCCGAGCCACGGCCCCGCCCUGCAGGCCCCCCAGGAGGCUGCAGAGGGCCAGGCUGGAGUCAGGGAGCGCCCCAGGGCCCGGAAGGAUGAGGGCCCGGGGCGCUCUUCAACUUCCCGGGUGAGCUAAGGGAAGGCGGCCUUCAUCCUCACGUCUUCCCCCUCCCCGCGCUUGGCGAAAUACGCAGGCCCCUGGAUCCAGUCCUGCAGGCGGCCCAGUGCGGAGCUGGCCAGAGGGCAGAUCGUGCCUGGUCUCAGGCGUCCGCCGUCCACUCAAAGUUACGACAACAGUUCACCAGGAGGGCGGGGCUGACGUCCGUCCCUCUGGAGGCAGCAGCACUGGGCACUCGGGUCAGCCCUGGGCGUGAUCCCUGACCCGCCUUCGACCCCCCCACUUUCCCUGGAAUAAGAGGAAAUAACCCCAGUGGACAGCUUGUCCUCAGA
Molecule: long non-coding RNA, 1192 nt
Organism: Bos taurus (domestic cattle)
Lineage: Eukaryota; Metazoa; Chordata; Mammalia; Artiodactyla; Bovidae
Source: Ensembl